AUACUUUUGUGGUUCUUAAGCAUGAAUGAUUUGGGUUUCAUACUAUGUGUGAGAUGUGCCUCCCUCUAAAUCUUGUUACAACAUUGGUACAUUACCCAUCUGACG
Molecule: small nucleolar RNA, 105 nt
Organism: Cynocephalus volans (Philippine flying lemur)
Lineage: Eukaryota; Metazoa; Chordata; Mammalia; Dermoptera; Cynocephalidae
Product: small nucleolar RNA U13
Exons: 1
Source: RefSeq, a predicted model, not a curated record